Molecule: ribosomal RNA, 254 nt
Filed under: uncultured bacterium
Lineage: Bacteria
Description: partial 16S ribosomal RNA
Rfam family: Bacterial small subunit ribosomal RNA
Source: RNAcentral
UACGGAGGGGGCUAGCGUUGUUCGGAAUUACUGGGCGUAAAGGGCGCGUAGGCGGCGCGAUAAGUUGGGCGUGAAAGGCCCGGGCUCAACCCGGGGACUGCGCUUGAUACUGUCGCGCUGUGAGUCCGGGAGAGGAUGGCGGAAUUCCCAGUGUAGAGGUGAAAUUCGUAGAUAUCGGGAGGAACACCAGUGGCGAAGGCGGCCUUCUGGACGGACACUGACGCUGAGACGCGAAAGCGUGGGUAGCAAACAGG